Long non-coding RNA from Pseudoliparis swirei, 3520 nucleotides. RefSeq lists it as uncharacterized. The transcript has 5 exons. The record is from RefSeq and is a predicted model, not a curated record. NCBI's taxonomy places the organism in Eukaryota, Metazoa, Chordata, Actinopteri, Perciformes, Liparidae.
GUUGACGGGCGUGAACAUUAUUGUGGCGUCUCUUUGGUUAUGGAAAUCCGAUGACGACCUUAAAGGCUGGAGUUCAUUCUGAAUGUUGAGCACCAUCCACCUCUAAGCGCUCGUCCUGAACGCCGCCACAAGAUGCCGUGGGGUCUCGUGCUAAUCUCCUUGAUUGCUCUCUGCAGCGCACACACUGUCCUGAAGGGGGCGACAUCCCAGUCGUCAAGCUUCACUGCAGAUGAAGGUAUUGAAGCUGGUUUGGUACACGUCUCUGGCAGAGCCGUGGAUGGGAACCACGCGACCUGUUCUCACACAGAAGAACAGAUGAACUCCUGGUGGAGAGUCGACCUGCUGGGCGUCUACACAUCACAUCACGAUCUAUCAAGUUAAACUUAACGCUGCGAAUAUAACCGGUGCCCAGAUUCACAUCGGGAACUCUCGGAAGGACAACGGCGCCGCCAACGCCCUGUGUAAGCACAUCGGACUCUUCCCGUAUGAUGAGGAUCAACAAUUCGCUUGCGAUACGAGUUUGUCAGGGUGCUACGUCACCGUGUCCUUCCCGGGAAAACACUUCCUCGCUCUGUGAAGUGGAGAUCUACGGCACGAUGAAAGGUUUAUUGUUUAGGUCCACAGUGAGCAGCACCUUUACUGGCUUCUCCCCUUUGAGGUUGAAUGUGGAACAAUAACCAGCAAAAAACCAUCACGCUCUAGUGUAAAACUACUCCAAGCUUUAUGUAAAGGCCAAUUAAGGCUAAUUGGGGGAAAGGCUCUCGUUUUAUUUUCCUCCAGUGAUGUCCACAGGGCCCACAGCUUGAUGCAUGAUGUAUCUUGAUGUAUGUGUCUCUAUAAGACAAUAACAACAAAUCAUUUGGAAGUGUUUCUGCAAGUGACGGCCGGCCGUGGUUCACAAAUUCCAUCACGUGGGCUGAAUUCGGCAUGUUCGCUUCCUGGGAAACCUUCUCCCCUUGUUCUCUGUUGUUCACCAUUUUGUUUUAUGUUCUGACAUUUUAAAAAAAGAUGAUUUUUUUGCUUAACCCUCCUAUGACCUUUGGGGUCAAUUUGACCCCAUUAAAAGUUUUACGUCUCUAAAAAAAUGAUUGACAUCAUUAAUUUUGAUUCAUAUUUCAUGACUUUUCCUAAUUUAUUGGGGACAACUGGGAAAACAUAAAAUUCACAUGAUAUGUUUUCACUGUCCUGAACACAACUCGUACGCAUCGGUGUUCUUUGGGGUCAAUUUGACCCCAGGCUGUUUUUCACUGUGUAAAACAUAUAAGAAAUAUCAACUUUUUUAUUUAUUUAAAGGGAUAUUUAGGUAUCAACAAAGAAUCAUAAAGUACCUCACACUUAAACUUGGGAAACAAUAUUAAUCCUAAUAAUUUUCUGGAUCGUUUUCAUUGCUGGGGUCAAAUUGACCCCGAGGGUAGAAGAUGUUGGUACAUUUGAAGGUAACAGGAGGGUUAAAUAAGAGUUGACGGGCUCGCUGAGGGCGUCUUUGUCAUGAGGAUGUCACCGGAGGAAUGCAGACGUGUUUGUUCACUUGUUUAGUUUCCCUUCACUCUUCUAGCAUCGCCCUUUACGUUGAUCGCGGAGAACAAGACGUGGGAAGCUGCGCUGAACUACUGCCGGGGCCAACACAUGCACCUGGCUUCCAUUGUCAACGAGGAGGACCAGGCCUGGGCCGAGUUGAAGGCCGUCAACGCCACCUCUCCCUUCGUGUGGCUGGGCCUUCGAUACACCUGCACCCUCGAGUUCUGGUUCUGGGUCGAGGAUCUUCGCGUAGAUUUCACUCGCUGGGAUACGAACAAUAAGAUGGACGAUUGUGACAUGAGUGGUGCCAUGGAGAACCAAGAGAACCAUUUGUGGUCCAGCCAACCGGCCACCAGUACAUUUAAUUUCAUAUGCACAAUAUAAUCGAGCUUUUCUCGGCGUCACUAGUGGCAAAUGUGACAAGUUCUGCUCUAAUAUGCGGCACAGGUGAUGGUUUCAGGCCCAGUGCAGUGCCACUUUGCCCUGAAGCCUCAUGGCUUACAACAAAACCUAUAUUACCUGUUUUUUAGUAGCUGUAACAGUUUAUUUAAAGCCACUCACGAGAUGUAACUUUAAUUGUAUGCUGAUUUUGGUAGUCCCUGUGGAAAAGGUGCAAGUGUUUCUUAGCAACAGUCUCGUGCCUCCAUCCCCUCCAGCAGCGUGGUGUAGGUGUUGUAUUGCAAAUGUUUGCUAUAUAUAUAUAUAUACAGUCGAGUAAUGUAUCCUUAUUCUCCAAUUUAUUAGACUAAUAUAUUGAUUAUAUGAUAGCCAAAUGUUUUUGAGGUCCAUAGACUUCUGUUUAAAAAAUAUGCAAAUAAUUUUUUUUUGGAAAUGUAUGUCGAAUUUAGUUUAUUUUGCAUAGCCAACAAUCACCCAUUUGCCUCAGAGGGCUUUACAAUCUGUACACAUACAUCAUCUUUGACCUUUGACCUCAUCAGAUCAGGAACAACUCCCAAAAAAACUUCAGGGUAAAAAAGGUAAGAACCCUUCAGGGGAACAACAGGAGGAUCCCUCUCCAGGAUAUAUAUAUAUAUAUAUAUAAUGUGUGUGUAUCAGGGACGUGCGGUCAGGGGAGGCAGGUGAGGCAGAGCAAGUAAAACAAGUAAAAAAUAAAUAAAUAAUGCUAACAUCGAAUUUAUAUUAAUAUUUGUCCACCGAUCUUUAUGUAUGACUUAUUUUGAACAUUUUCCAGUCAAAAUCGCUGAUUUUGCCUAUUUCCUGUUCAAAUACAGGAUGAAACGAGAGUUGAGGCAACGAGUAGAGCCGAGCCUCUUAUUGCGCAAUCCAUCACAAGCUGGGUUGAUGCAAUUGGCCCGUGCGGGUUGCCGUAUCUCGGCAUGUCGCCAAUAUAAUGCUUGUAGAUAUGUUUAUUUGCACUGAUUUUCCACAGUCUGGCUAAGGUCUUUAACCAUUACAGUUUAAUGUUCGUAAGUGACAUAUUUAGUUUUGCUGAUGGGAAAUAAAACCGCAGUGAAAAGGCGCAGGGUGAGGUGGUAGUACUCUGUCGCCCUGCAGGGGGCGCUAGUGAGCCAACGGGUACUUGUUGCUGCUUCUUCUACGCUGAGGCGCCAGGCGAGUCAAGUCCGUUUGUUUUUGUAUUUUGCUACGUCAGACCGCCAAAAUGGAAGAGGAUUAUUAUAUAUCUGAGCUUAAAAAUGUCUCAAAAGUGGACGUGAUUAAUACAGGUAGACCAACGCCGGAGCUAAACGGUGUGCUUCAAACUUGUUCUUACCUUUACGUAUCUGUAAUAUGUACCGUGUGCGUGUGUGUUUUGUGAAGACUGCUGAUGAGACAUGAAAUAACCAGUAGCCAAUUGAAUAAGCCCCUUUUGGGCUUAUAUAUUUGUAAAUCUGACACUAAAGGAGUCAGUGCCUCACCAACCAUGAACUUCACCGCACGUCACUGAUAUGUAUAUAUAUAUGUGUAUAUAUGUAUGUGUGUAUGUAUAUAUAUAUAUAUUAGGGCUGUCAAUCGAUUAAAAAGAAUUAACUAAUUAAUCGCA